GAAAGGGAAUGGGGUCAAUAUUCCCCAACCCGGACACGGAGAUAGGUCCCUCGGGACCAAGUGCGGCGACGCAACCGAACUCGGAGACGUCGACGGAGGACCCGGGGAAGAGUUGUCUUUUCUUUGUAAGAGUUCGUGUCCCUGGAAUCGGCUCGUCCGGAGAUAGGGACGCUGUCCUCGUAAAAGCACCGCGGCUCUUGCGGUGUCCGGUGCGCCUCUGUCGGCCCUUGCAAAUCCGAGGGAGAGAGUGUGAUUUUCGUGCCGGUCCGUACCCAUAUCCGCAGCAGGUCUCCAAGGU
RNAcentral lists this ribosomal RNA (298 nucleotides) under Linyphia triangularis. Its description in RNAcentral is "partial 28S ribosomal RNA". It matches the Rfam family "Eukaryotic large subunit ribosomal RNA", at positions 1596 to 1873 of the family's 3401-position model. Lineage: Eukaryota; Metazoa; Arthropoda; Arachnida; Araneae; Linyphiidae. The record is from RNAcentral.